This 497-nucleotide ribosomal RNA is filed under the name uncultured bacterium. Its description in RNAcentral is "partial 16S ribosomal RNA". It matches the Rfam family "Bacterial small subunit ribosomal RNA", at positions 28 to 507 of the family's 1533-position model. The record is from RNAcentral.
GAUGAACGCUGGCGGCGUGCCUAACACAUGCAAGUCGAGCGGAUGAACGAGACUUUCUCUUCUAUGCUGUUAGGGGCGGGCGGGUGAGUCACACGUGUAUACCUUACCUUUAGGACUGAGAUACCUUCGCGAACCCGAAUAUCACACAGGUCAUGAUUUAGAACCUCAGGGUUCAAAGGAACAAGAGCUUUCAGCUGAGCCUAAAUCAGGUUACCGCGCUGGAUUGGCUAGUUGGUAGGGUAACGGCUUACCAAGGCUACUAUGCAUAGCCGACCUGAGAGGUUGAUCAGCCACACUGUAACUGAGACACGGUCCAGACUCCUACGGGAGGCAGCAGUAGGGAAUAUUCCGCAAUGGGCGAAAGCCUGACGGAGCAACGCCGCGUGAGUGAUGAAGGUCUUCGGAUCGUAAAACUCUGUUAUUAGGGAAGAACGUAUGUGUGUGUAACUGUGCACAUCUUGACGGUACCUAAUCAAAAAGCCACGGCUAACUACGUG